Long non-coding RNA from Eubalaena glacialis (North Atlantic right whale), 1031 nucleotides. RefSeq lists it as uncharacterized. Lineage: Eukaryota; Metazoa; Chordata; Mammalia; Artiodactyla; Balaenidae. The transcript is spliced from 3 exons. The record is from RefSeq and is a predicted model, not a curated record.
GGCGGGUCCUGGGGCUGUGGAGAUGGACAGUGAGUGGGAUCCGGUCACUCCUCAGAGCGGCCUUGGCAUUGUAAACGUCUCGGUGCCUCUCUCCCUGCAGUUUUUCGUGAUUUUAACGAACUGUGCUUCUUUCAUGAAUCUAAAUUUCUGCAUAUAUCUCGCCAAGCGCCGUCUUAAAGCUUAACGUGCGAGCCCUGCCGGAAACGGCGGCUUUGUGUGGAAGUUGGCACCUGAGAUGAGAGCGGGACGAAGCGUUAAAGGGCCGCGAAGACUUAACUCCUCGCUUUUUAAAUUAAAAGAAAAAAAAAAGAAAAAGGAACCGUCCCAGAAAGAGGCGGGUGACGCCCCAGGACACAUGGCAAAUAAGUGACUGAGCUGAGAACCCAGGGCACCAAGCUCCCAGUUUCCCGAUUCAGAUUUGAUCCUGUUACAUUUACCAACAUUAUCACCUUUCCCUUGCUUGAACCCUUGCGGCUUUCUUCUGUAGAUGGACAAGAUCCUUUUAGUUGGUAUUUGGAGACAUCUAGUGAAAGAAUAUGAAAGCCAAGUUCCAGUCGGCUGAGAUCUGAUAGUUCGUGGGAUUAAAAUGUGAGCCUGAUUAGAGUUUACAGCUAAGAUCCUUGGCCUUGGAUCUGAAAGUUGCCGGAGCUUGCGGGAUCUUAGUUCCCCGACCAGGGAUUGAACCUGGGCCCUCAGCAGUGAAAGCGCGGAGUCCUAACCACUGGACUGCCAGGGAAUUCAACCUCAGUUACUGGGACACGGGUUCGAUCCCUGGUCUGGGAAGAUCCCACAUGCCGCGGAGCAACUAAGCCCUUGCGCCACAACUACUGAGCCUGCGCUCUAGAGCCCGCGAGCCACAACUACUGAGCCCACGUGCCACAUCUACUGAAGCCCACACACCUAGAGCCCGUGCUCCGCAACAAGAGAAGCCACUGCAGUGAGAAGCCUGUGCUCUGCAACGAAGAGUAACCCCCGCUCGCCGCAACUAGAGAAAGCCCAUGCGCAGCAAUGAAGACCCAACGCAGCCAAAC